This 253-nucleotide ribosomal RNA is filed under the name uncultured bacterium. Its description in RNAcentral is "partial 16S ribosomal RNA". It matches the Rfam family "Bacterial small subunit ribosomal RNA", at positions 524 to 776 of the family's 1533-position model. The record is from RNAcentral.
UACGGAGGGAGCUAGCGUUGUUCGGAAAUACUGGGCGUAAAGCGCACGUAGGCGGCUACAUAAGUCAGGGGUGAAAUCCCGGGGCUCAACCUCGGAACUGCCUUUGAAACUGUAUAGCUAGAAUCCUGGAGAGGCGAGUGGAAUUCCGAGUGUAGAGGUGAAAUUCGUAGAUAUUCGGAAGAACACCAGUGGCGAAGGCGACUCGCUGGACAGGUAUUGACGCUGAGGUGCGAAAGCGUGGGGAGCAAACAGG